This 252-nucleotide ribosomal RNA is filed under the name uncultured bacterium. RNAcentral's name for it is "partial 16S ribosomal RNA". It matches the Rfam family "Bacterial small subunit ribosomal RNA", at positions 524 to 776 of the family's 1533-position model. The record is from RNAcentral.
UACGAAUGGUGCAAGCGUUAUUGAGAUGUAUUGGGCGUAAAGGAUUCGUAGGUGGAUAUUUAGACUCUUGGCAAAAUGCUAGAAACAUACUUGUAGCAAAGCGAUUUUAGAUUUUUUAUCUAGAGUUAAUGUUAGGUGCGUGGAAUACCUAGUGUAGAUAUAAAAAGCGAAUAUUAGGUGGAACACCGAUAGCGAAGGCAACGUUCCAACGUUAACUGACACUGAGGGAUGAAAGUGUGGGGAGCGACCAGG